This 1475-nucleotide long non-coding RNA is filed under the name Nicotiana tabacum (common tobacco). RNAcentral describes it as "long non-coding RNA (NTAB_LNC000302)". Lineage: Eukaryota; Viridiplantae; Streptophyta; Magnoliopsida; Solanales; Solanaceae. The record is from RNAcentral.
CGGUUUAAUGGCAGCAAUGUAAUGCUGCCAUUAUAGGAUAGAUAUUGGUUGUAAUUGGCAGGUGGUGUAGCUUAAAAGCAGGCAUUUUCUGCCCAGUUUUUACCCAGAUUACCGACCGAAAUUCGGUCGGAAAUUUCCGACCGAUUUCGGUCGGUACACGUUAGCGACCAUCAUUUUUCCAACCAUUUAAAAUCGGUCGGAAAUCGAUCGAUUUUUAUCAAUUUCCGACCGAUUUCGGUCGGAUUUGAUGGACGGAUUUGCACUGAUUUUAGUAGUGUACAUUCCACCAUUUGGAUUUUCACUACUAUAUGUUAUGUAUUCAGAAGUAACUAUCUACUUUCCAAGAAAUUGGUUCCAUUGAUUGCUUCUCUUGGUAUUCAGCAGCUGAUCAUGAAAUUCGCAAUGACAAGUUGAUAGAGGUAGGUUCUAUUUAUGAGAUUAAUAAUCAUAUAAAUCUACCUCCAUAUCUACCUCGGUGGAUAGUUCAAGUCAAGUUCAUCAGAGUAGCAAUGGUGAGAAAAUAACCUGAUGCUAUAGUACAACUUUUCAGUAUGGUGUUAAAAGAAUGUAGAAAUAUGCAGAGAGGAAGCAUAUUCUAUUCUUCUGGUUGCUGAAGGAGGAAUUCCUUAAAGCGUUUCGUAUUUGAUGAAAUCAGCGAUGCAACAAUGGAGGAGGACAUGAACCUAAAGAGAAAAAGAUAUACUACUAACUUAAUAACUAAAAGGGCAGCCCGGUGCAUUAAGCUCUCGCUGUGCGCAGGGUUCGGGGAAGGACCAGACCACAAGGGUCUAUUGUACGCAGUCUUACCCUAAAUUUCUGUAAGAGACUGUUUUCACGACUCGAAUUGAUAACGACUAGUAUGAAAAAGGCAAAGGGUGAAUAUUGGGCUAGCUAGUAUCCCUAUUCCUGAGCCUCUGUUGAAAGCGAUGGGGCUGAAGUUCAUUGAAGAUCCUGAUUUGGUUGAUCAUUUGCUCGAGAAAGGAGGCCAGUGUAGAUCCUUAUUGGAUUCCACCACCUGGUUGGAAACACGGAGAUGAGAUUUCUGUACUUAAAAGGUUUACUAGAGAUGAUUUCCUAUGCUUUUUCGUUAUGGAUGUCUAUGUCCAAAGGAAAAUAUAACUUAGUUUUUUCUUUUCAAUAUCUUUAAAUAUUGAUUGUAUACAGAGACCAGGAGGAGACGAUGGUGCUUGAAGAAAUUCGAAAGUUGAGAAGGUUAAUAUAACAGUAACCUGAAUUUGCAACUCUAAUUUUGUUGGUGAAAUAAAUACAAACUGUGUAUGUAUAUACAAGAGUUGAUACAUUUUUCUUUCUAUUUGAGCAGAGAGAGGUUGAACUAAGUAAUCAAUCACAAGUAAGUUACUUUCGAUAAUGUCAUUUGAAUUGUUUAGACAUUCAUAUCUCUUUUGACAUAUGAUUGCAUAUAUUUCAUUUGACAGGAAGAGUUGAGGAAAGAAGUAAGGGCUUUUAUAAAGGUA